This 318-nucleotide ribosomal RNA is filed under the name uncultured eukaryote. Its description in RNAcentral is "partial 18S ribosomal RNA". It matches the Rfam family "Eukaryotic small subunit ribosomal RNA", at positions 1470 to 1796 of the family's 1831-position model. The record is from RNAcentral.
CCCUUAGAUGUUCUGGGCUGCACGCGCGCUACACUGACGCACGCAACAGGUGCCUGCUCCGAGAGGACUGGGUAAUCAUUUGAGUGUGCGUCGUGAUGGGGAUAGAAUAUUGUAAUUAUUACUCUUCAACGAGGAAUUCCUAGUAAGCGCAAGUCAGCAGCUUGCGCUGAUUACGUCCCUGCCCUUUGUACACACCGCCCGUCGCUCCUACCGAUGGGUGAUCCGGUGAAUGAUUCGGACUCGGUUGCCUCUAGCCACUAGUGGCGCUCGAGAAAGUUUUGGGAACCUUAUCACUUGGAGGAAGGAGAAGUCGUAACA